Molecule: transfer RNA, 71 nt
Filed under: Podarcis lilfordi (Lilford's wall lizard)
Lineage: Eukaryota; Metazoa; Chordata; Lepidosauria; Squamata; Lacertidae
Description: tRNA.Ile
Source: RNAcentral
UGGGUAGCUCAGUUGAUUAGAACGUGGUGCUGAUAACACCAAGGCUGCAGGUUCCAUCCCUGUAAGGGAAA